Molecule: long non-coding RNA, 218 nt
Filed under: Lathyrus oleraceus (garden pea)
Lineage: Eukaryota; Viridiplantae; Streptophyta; Magnoliopsida; Fabales; Fabaceae
Description: Pisum sativum (pea) long non-coding RNA (PSAT_LNC007636)
Source: RNAcentral
AGAGACUAAUCCUAAGCAAAAACUUAAAAGUUAAGAGUUGAAAAGAUCUGACCAAUGGGAUGCAAUCCAAUAGACAAGAAUGUCAUAUAGAAACCCCUUUUUCCUUUGGACUUUAAAAUCAAGCAAUAUCAAUAAGCAAGCAAGAUGAAGAGCAAGGCAUCAAAUAAAGAUAGCCACAUCCAAGCAAGCAACUUCAUAGUCUUCUUCUUAAUCUUCCC